RNAcentral lists this ribosomal RNA (430 nucleotides) under Acidobacteriota bacterium. RNAcentral's name for it is "Acidobacteria bacterium partial 16S ribosomal RNA". It matches the Rfam family "Bacterial small subunit ribosomal RNA", at positions 355 to 776 of the family's 1533-position model. Lineage: Bacteria; Pseudomonadati; Acidobacteriota. The record is from RNAcentral.
UGGGGAAUAUUGGACAAUGGGCGAAAGCCUGAUCCAGCCAUGCCGCGUGUGUGAAGAAGGCCUUUUGGUUGUAAAGCACUUUAAGCGAGGAGGAGGCUACUUGGAUUAAUACUCUAGGAUAGUGGACGUUACUCGCAGAAUAAGCACCGGCUAACUCUGUGCCAGCAGCCGCGGUAAUACAGAGGGUGCGAGCGUUAAUCGGAUUUACUGGGCGUAAAGCGUGCGUAGGCGGCUUCUUAAGUCGGAUGUGAAAUCCCUGAGCUUAACUUAGGAAUUGCAUUCGAUACUGGGAAGCUAGAGUAUGGGAGAGGAUGGUAGAAUUCCAGGUGUAGCGGUGAAAUGCGUAGAGAUCUGGAGGAAUACCGAUGGCGAAGGCAGCCAUCUGGCCUAAUACUGACGCUGAGAUACGAAAGCAUGGGGAGCAAACAGG